RNAcentral lists this long non-coding RNA (403 nucleotides) under Elaeis guineensis (African oil palm). RNAcentral describes it as "long non-coding RNA (EGUI_LNC034946)". Lineage: Eukaryota; Viridiplantae; Streptophyta; Magnoliopsida; Arecales; Arecaceae. The record is from RNAcentral.
UAUGGAGCUAAUGUAUCUUAAUUUGAUCUUAAUUAAAUAAAGUUUGAUAAAAAUUUAUCUCUAAUCAUCAAGCAUUGUACCAUCCUCCAUCAUGACUCUUAUCGAAUACUAUUGAUUUGGUUUCCUUUGAUUUUUGUUGAAUUAUCUAUAUCUUAGAUAAUUUUUGAUCAAAUAAAAUUAGAUGACUGAUCGACCUAGACCUUAGAUAUGGCUACUUAUGAACCGUGUCUUUCCUGAUUAUCUAUAUUCUUUCUAAUCAAUAGACUCAAUUCUAUAUAGUGGCAUAAUCAUUUCAACAAAAAAAUGUACAAUAGUGAGAUACUGAGAUGUGAUCAAUGAAUUGAUGAUUUUGAAAAAUAAUUAUGAAAUUAUAUGGAUUUUAUUGGAGUAUGUGUGAGGUAAG